RNAcentral lists this ribosomal RNA (328 nucleotides) under uncultured eukaryote. RNAcentral's name for it is "partial 18S ribosomal RNA". It matches the Rfam family "Eukaryotic small subunit ribosomal RNA", at positions 1470 to 1796 of the family's 1831-position model. The record is from RNAcentral.
CCCUUAGAUGUCCUGGGCCGCACGCGCGUUACACUGGUGCAUUCAACGAGCUUAUAACCUUGGCCGAGAGGCCUGGGCAAUCUUGUUAACGUGCAUCGUGAUAGGGAUAGAUUAUUGAAAUUAUUAAUCUUGAACGAGGAAUUCCUAGUAAACGCAGAUCAUCAAUCUGCAUUGAUUACGUCCCUGCCCUUUGUACACACCGCCCGUCGCACCUACCGAUUGGAUGGUCCGGUGAAGCCUCGGGAUUGUGGUUCUUGCCGCUUUGUUGUGGCGUGACCGCGAGAACUUGUCUAAACCUUAUCAUCUAGAGGAAGGUGAAGUCGUAACA